UUGCGUGGCUCGGUGAUCUGCCGAUGACGGUAAAUAUGUGUGCGCGUGCGCGGGUCGCAGCCAUGGCUGUGCCGUCCGCGUUCUUGUAUGCUGGGUCUCUCGCCUUUUUUGCAUCUACGGCCAUCCGGGACCAGGAGUCAUGCCGGGCUAUUCUGAAGCCAGAUGGAAAUCGAGGCCAGGUGGAUGGACCCACAGCGUGGAAGGGCUGACCGGCCUCCUCUGGAAGAUGUCCUGCCUCGAAAAUAUAUCUUGAGAAGAUUAAGGAAGAAGAGAUCAUUUUUUUUUGUCCAGUCUAGGAAACCCAAGAUGCUGGAACUAGAAGAGACCUGAAAUGACACAUCAGUGGUUAUCAGGCUGUCUCAUGGAACUUCUGAAGAGAUGAGGAAACGGGCCAGAUUUGAAGCCUGCUAUUUGUUUGUCACCCCUCUAAAAAGAAUCAGCAGUUUCUGGUUCUUGGCCCGAGUUGCUGUGUUUCAGGACAAGUGUGUUUGGCAGAUACUGUCUUCCUAGUCUCAGUGACGGAUAUUGGAGGUGGCAAAAGGAAAGCAGACCUGCUAUCCAAGCUCUUAGGAGGUAGAGGCAAGAAGAUCAUGGAUUCAAGGCCAGCCUGGGCUACAAGAGACCCAGUCUCCAAAAAAGAUAAAUAAAUGGAGUUUUAUCUGA
Molecule: non-coding RNA, 663 nt
Organism: Cricetulus griseus (Chinese hamster)
Lineage: Eukaryota; Metazoa; Chordata; Mammalia; Rodentia; Cricetidae
Source: RefSeq, a predicted model, not a curated record